This 253-nucleotide ribosomal RNA is filed under the name uncultured bacterium. RNAcentral's name for it is "partial 16S ribosomal RNA". It matches the Rfam family "Bacterial small subunit ribosomal RNA", at positions 524 to 776 of the family's 1533-position model. The record is from RNAcentral.
UACAGAGGGUGCGAGCGUUAAUCGGAAUUACUGGGCGUAAAGCGUGCGUAGGCGGUUUGUUAAGUCCGUUGUGAAAGCCCUGGGCUCAACCUGGGAAUUGCAGUGGAUACUGGCGAGCUAGAGUGCGGUAGAGGAUGGUGGAAUUCCCGGUGUAGCGGUGAAAUGCGUAGAGAUCGGGAGGAACACCCGUGGCGAAGGCGGCCAUCUGGACCAGCACUGACGCUGAGGCACGAAAGCGUGGGGAGCAAACAGG